RNAcentral lists this ribosomal RNA (506 nucleotides) under uncultured bacterium. RNAcentral describes it as "partial 16S ribosomal RNA". It matches the Rfam family "Bacterial small subunit ribosomal RNA", at positions 29 to 523 of the family's 1533-position model. The record is from RNAcentral.
AGUGAACGCUGGCGGCAGGCCUAACACAUGCAAGUCGAACGGCAGCACAGGAGAGCUUGCUCUCUGGGUGGCGAGUGGCGGACGGGUGAGGAAUAUAUCGGAAUCUACCCUUCCGUGGGGGAUAACGUAGGGAAACUUACGCAAAUACCGCAUACGAACUGAGGCUGAAAGCGGCGGACCGCAAGGCCUCGCGCGGAUGGAUGAGACGAUAUCCGAUUAGCUAGUUGGCGGGGUAAAGGCCCACAAAGGCGACGAUCGGUAGCUGGUCUGAGAGGAUGAUCAGCCACACUGGAACUGAGACACGGUCCAGACUCCUAAGGGAGGCAGCAGUGGGGAAUAUUGGACAAUGGGCGCAAGCCUGAUCCAGCCAUGCCUCGUGUGUGAAGAAGGCCUUCGGGUUGUAAAGCACUUUUGUUGGGAAAGAAAAGCGGUCGGUUAAUACCCGGUCGUUCUGACGGUACCCAAAGAAUAAGCACCGGCUAACUUCGUGCCAGCCGCCGCGGUAA